This 11371-nucleotide long non-coding RNA is filed under the name Coffea arabica (coffee). RNAcentral describes it as "long non-coding RNA (CARA_LNC002351)". The record is from RNAcentral. Lineage: Eukaryota; Viridiplantae; Streptophyta; Magnoliopsida; Gentianales; Rubiaceae.
CCAAAACUAAGCGGUGACCGAGUGAAACUAAAAAGAAGUCAUUUGCUAAAUACCUGGGCGGUGGCUGAAGGAAAAUCAAGAGAAAUCAGCCACCAAAACUACUAAGUCUAAGCGGUGGAAAUGAGGAAACAAAUAGGAGUCGGCUUGCUAGUUUGGGCGGUGGAACAUUUGCUGAGUUAGGUAGUGACCGAAAGAGAGAAGCUAAAUGAAAUCAUUUGUUGCUAACAUUUGGGCGGUGGCUGAGAGGAAACAAGACAAUUAUUUGCCAUGUUUAGGCGGUGACCAAAGAGAGAAAUCAGAGAGAUAGCGGCUACCAAUAAUCUGCUAAGUCCAAGCGGUGAUUGAGUGGAGCAAAUAGAAUCUGAUACAUUAGUAGGGCGGUGGCCGAGAGCAAAGGAAACUAGGUAGCUCUUCCUUUCUUUCUUUCAUUCAAUCUCUACAAGACAAUCGAGAGAGAGGAAAAAUAUUUCUGUUUCCUCUUUGUUUCAGCUUGCAAGCUCAUACCUAACAAACCUUAUUAAACCAAAUCAAAACAGAGAGGGGAACUUGGCUUGAUUCAUUUUGAUAGCAGAAACCGUGAGCCAAAGUGAGAGAGUGAGAGAGAAAGCUUGGGUAGCUUCUUCAUCAGCUAACAAAAAUUAAACAAACGAAGGCAAGGAGAAUCGAGUUCCCGAGGAAUUGAAACAGCAAUUUGAGCAACCUGCAACAUCGAACCUUAGGAGGAAGAGGUAAGAAUCUGCCAUAAUUUCCUGCUUAUUCAGUAUAAAUGGAAUAAUAAACGAGCUGCAUGUGAAUUUUACAAAGAAAAUGAGCUCUUAGCAAGGGUGAAAUUCUUAGGGGUGGGCACGGGUCGGGUACCCGCCCCUAACAUGAUUUGACUGACCCGACCCUAAUAUAUCGGAUCAGCCAUUUGGCAACCCUAACUCGCUCCUAAUAUUUUCGGGUACCCGAAUAGCGGGUACCCGAAAAAAAGGGGCGGGUCAUAGGGUACCCGCCUCUAAAAAAAACUAUUUUUCAAUAAAAAAAUUUAUUUUCUACUUAAUAUCAACAUGUUUUUCAAUAAAAAAAAACAUGCUUUUCCAAUUAAUAUUGGUAGAGAUAUUGUAAUUAAAGUCCAUACAUCACCAUUCUCACACAUUUCAUCCAAUAAUCAAAUCGAUUUCAUAAAUUUAGUACAUAUUAGAAUAUCUAAUAGACAAAACGAAGUUUCAUAAUAAUUUUGAGUAUAUCACCAUUUUCACACAUUUCAUACUUCUACAACACAACAAACACAAGGAUAAUAAGUAUUUGGUAACUUCCCCAAGGAUAUUAUGGUACAAGACCGCAUCUCAAAUAAGUCAAUUGUGAAAUCAAGUUCGGAAAAGAAUUGAAUAGAACUAAUUAUUUUUGAAAAAAAUAUGACCAAAAUAAUGUUAAAAAUCUUCCCCAACUUCUUUACAUCUUUGGAAUAGACCUUAUGGUAUUAAGGUGAUGAAAAAGAAAAAUAAAUUUCUUACACUAAAUAAAAGAGACAAAUUGAAGAGAUAUAAUUGCAAAUGAAUGACACAAAUAUUUUAAUUAUCUAGCUAACAGAAAAUUGAAACUCCAAACAAAAAUCUUUGAUUGAAUUGAUGCAAAAUUUGUAGGAAAGAUCGAUGGAGGUAGAAUAAAAAUAAAAAAGAUGAAAGGGAUGAACAAUUUUUAUAACAGAGUUUCACAAAUUUUUUUUUUCAUUUUGUUCAUGUUUCACCGAGAAUAUUCGCUUUUUUCAAAAAAAAUGAGAAGAGUAGAUCAUAUAGGAUUAGAAUAUGAGGCUGCGAGCCACUUCACUUGCACUUAGAAUUAAAAAUUACAAAAUUAUAAAAUGAUCCCUACUUUUUUAAUAUUUAUAAAAUAUACCCUACGGGUCGGGUACCCGCGGGUUUUUAUUUUUCUGAUCCGUAUCCGUACCCGAUUUUUCGGGUACCCGACCCUCAUCUGCCCCGCUAAGAAAAAUCGGAUCGGGUAUCCUAUUUUUCGGAUCGGGUUCAUCGGAUUUUCGGAUCGGCGGGUUUUUUUGCCCACCCCUACUUAGCAAGGGUGAAAUUCUGUUUUGAAGUAAAUGAAGCUAUUGUUGAAUCCUUAAUCCAACAUUGGACUUAUAUGUGAAUAAUUAUGUAUUGCAAACUGUCAAUUAAUGUUAAACCCAAUUAAAGUGAUCAAAUAUAGUUUGGGUUUAAUGUAUCUAAUAGGAUGUGGGCCCUUUUAUGUGUAGAAACUUAUGGGCUCCUAUUUCAAUGAUGGGCUGAAAUAGGGCUCCAAAGGUAACAGGAAUGUUACCUAUAAAUAGGGUUAUGGUCCCCAGGUCACAGGCAUCGUUUUAGUUGUUGUAUUUCUUAAUACCACAAAAUAGCCCUUCCCUGAUAUCCCAUCGUCAGGAAAGAUACCAGAGAGAAACUAAAGGUCUCUCUCAAAGGAUCGGUGAAUACCUGUUGACCUGGAAGGCCACUCCAAAUCUCUAGGGAUUCAAGUAUCAAGUUUAUCAAUAUGGAUUCAGGUACGCUUCCGCUAUUUUACAGUUAAUGUAUUUCUUAAUAAUCACCAUAUAGAUCUUGGAUUUAAUAGGUGAUGGUUUUCACCAGUGGUUAGAUUUAAAUAACCACCCUAACAAGUGGUAUCUGGUUGAUUAUUAGGAAAUAAUUUGGAUUUAGUAAUUCAUAGUUUUUUUGUAUUUAAAAAAAAAAACUAUGAUUGAUUUAGUUUUUCGGUUGCAUGGCUGAAAGAUUUUGUCUCGUGGUUGAAGUUAUGUGCAUGAUUCGGCUUUGUGUUUUGGCCUUUUAUGAGUCGUUGUUUUCAUGAUCUAGUCAUGUUCCGUUGCCGUUCAUGUUCAGCCUUCAUGUCGUGGAAAGUCAGCUUGCAUGAAUAGAGAUUUUAAUGAAAUUCAUGUUGUUAUAUUGCAUUCAGUGGCUCCACGGAUUGUUAGACACCAAUCAAUUGCUUUGCUAUGAUUACUGUGUUAAAAUCAAUUACUGUGCUAAAAGCCGAAAGCCAAAAUGGCUUUUGCUGUGACUUUUCAUUAUGCUUUCGGUCAACACUUGAAGUUAGUGGGCUCCACGAAUUCUUACAUGUGAAUUCAUGAAUUCGGUCGACAUGAAUCAAGUUUUGUUUGCUGUGAUGAUUUGGUUUGGCCAAUUUAAUAUUUAUUAUGUUGAUUCAAUUUGUCAAUAAUUAGACUCUUUGGCCUGUUUCAUUGUUUAUAAAUAUGUAUGCAUUUAUAUUCAGAAAACUAGGGUUCUUUUAAUUUAAAUGAACCCUAAUAUAGUUAAUAAGAUAUUUAAGACCUACAAAGUCCAUAUGUUUGGCCCACUAUACAUAUAGUUUUAUAAAGUAUUUAUGGACUUAAAAAAAAAAUGGGGCUUGAAUAAUAAAUUGGGUCAAUUAUGGAUAUGGACCUUUGGUCCAAUAAGUUUUGAUCCAAUUGAUCGGUUUGAUCAGAGUUAACUAAAGUUGACUUUGAUCAAAAUUUUGUUUAAUUUGUAUAAUUUUAAAUUUGAACAUUGGUAUAAUUAUAUAUAUUUUAGAAUAAAUUAAUUGAAAUAAUAUGCCACCAAAGUGACCUCUAUUAUGAAAAUUAAUUUAUUUUAGAAUAUAACUAGUUGAGUACUUGUAAUUUUAUGAAUAUUGAUCGGCCCAAAGGAAGGUCCAUAUUUAAUAAAAUUACAUGUGCACUUGUGGUAAUAAAUACGUGAUAAUUAUUUGGAUUUUGCAUGUGAUUUAUAAAUUGGCCCAAAGGAAAAUUUAUUUUUGGACAUGUUAUUAUUAUCAGUAUUUAUUACUGCACCAAGAUAUCACUUAGAAAUUAAUAUUUUUGUCCAAAGGCAAAAUAUUAAUGGAAUAUCGAUAUCUUGAGAUGGGGUUACCUUUAUUUAAAUUUAUUAUUGUUUUGGUUUAUGUGAGCUUGUUUUAAUUAUAUUAUAUUUUCUGUUCAAUUGCAAAUGAUCUUACAAAUAUUACUGCUAACAUCAAUAACAUUCCUAUGCUGAAUGGCACAAAUUUCAAGUCCUGGAAAGAAAACCUCUUGAUAGUACUUGAAGUAAUGGAUCUCGACCUUGCGUUAAGGGAUGAUUCUCCCCCACCUCUUACAGAUCAGAGAACCUCUGAUGAAAAGAGAAAUAAUGAGAGGUAGGAGAGAUCAAAUCGCUUGUGUCUGAUGAUCAUUAAAAAGGCCGUUCCAGAAGCAUUCAGGGGAACAAUGUCAGAAACGACUGUAACGGCUAAAGAGUUCCUUCAGGACAUUGAAAAAAGGUUUGUCAAGAACGAAAAGGCUGAAGUUAGUACGCUCUUAACACGCCUAGUUUCAAUGAAAUAUAGUAGUAAAGGCAAUAUCAGAGAGUACAUCAUGGAGAUGUCUCAUCUUGCUUCGAAAUUGAAUGCACUUAAGUUGAAACUCUCUGAAGAGUUAUUAAUGCAUUUGAUUUUAAUAUCUCUUCCUACACAAUUUAGCCAGUUUAAGGUGAGUUACAAUUGUCAAAAGGAGACUUGGUCUCUAAAUGAACUCAUCUCACACUGUGUAGAGGAAGAGGAAAGGUUGAAGCAAGAGCAGACAGAAAGUACCCAUCUGGUGUCAACCACUAAUAAUAAAAAUAAGGGAUUUAAAAGAAAGAAGGAAAAAGGAGCUGCAGGUACAGCGCCACAAAAGAAACAACAAAAGAAAUCAAAUGAUCAGGGAAAGAAUAGUUGUUUCUUCUGUGGGACUGAAGGGCAUCAAAAGAAGCAUUGCACCAACUAUCACGCUUGGCGUGCUAAGAAAGGUAUGCUUCUUAAUUUGGUUUGUUCUGAGAUUAAUUUAACUUCGGUACCUAGACACACAUGGUGGUUAGAUUCUGGUGCAACAACUCACAUCAGUGUGUCUAUGCAGGGUUGCCUGAAUUGCCGAAAGUCUAAUGAUAAUGAAAGAUAUAUCUACGUGGGCGAUGGCAAAACAGUUCAAGUUGAGGCAAUUGGAGUUUUUAGAUUAUUGUUAAAGACCGGAUUUUAUUUGGAUCUCAAUGAGACAUUUGUUGUACCGUCUUUUAGACGGAAUUUAAUUUCUAUUUCUGUUUUGGACAAAUUUGGUUAUUUUUGUUCAUUUGGAAAUGAAAAUUUUGAAUUGUUUCAUGAUUCAAAAUUGGUUGGUUCUGGUUCUUUAAUGCAUUACGAUAAUCUAUAUUUAAUUGAUACGAUUGCCUCAUUUAAUGAAUCUCUGCAUUUGAGUACUAGAGGAGUUAAAAGAAAAUUAGCCAAUGAGAAUUCAGCUGCAUUAUGGCACAAGAGAUUGGGACAUAUCUCCAAACGGAGAAUGGAAAGGUUUGUGUCAAAUGAAAUUCUCGACCCCUUGAGUUUUACAGAUUUUAAUGAUUGUAUUAACUGUAUAAAGGGGAAACAAACCAAUGAAAGGAGAUUUGAAGCCAAUAGAUCCUUAGACGUCUUAGAACUUAUACAUACAGAUAUUUGUGGACCAUUUCCUACAUCUGCUUGAAAUGGUCAACAAUAUUUUAUAACGUUCAUAGACGAUUUUUCAAGAUAUGGCUACAUAUAUCUCAUUUCUGAAAAAUCACAGUCACUGAACGUGUUCAAAAGUUUUAAGGCUGAAGUUGAGAAUCAACUCAACAAAAGAAUUAAAAGCGUCAGAUCUGAUCGUGGUGGUGAGUACUAUGGCAGAUAUGACGGUUCAGGUGAACAACGUCCAGGACCAUUUGCUAAAUACCUAAAGGAAUGCGGUAUCGUCCCACAGUACACUAUGCCGGGUUCACCCAUUAUGAAUGGUGUAGCUGAAAGACGAAAUAGAACACUUAAAGACAUGGUAAGGAGUAUGAUAUGUCAUUCUACUUUACCAGAGUCACUCUGGGGUGAAGCACUUAAGACUGUAGCAUAUAUCCUUAAUAGGGUUCCAACUAAAUCAACUAUCAAAACCCCUUAUGAGCUUUGGACAGGGAAAAAGCCUAGUUUCAAGCAUCUGCAUGUUUGCGGGUGUCCAGUUGAGGCAAGGCCUUACAGGCCAAAUGAAAAGAAACUGGACUCAAGAACGAUUAGUUGUUAUUUUAUUGGAUACUCUGAAAGAUUCAGAGGUUACAAGUUUUAUGAUCCCACAACUAAGUCAAUUUUUGAGACAGGAAAUGCCCGGUUCUUUGAGGAUGUCGAGUUUGAGAGAGAAAAUACAGUAAGGGACAUUGUCUUUAAAGAGAAAUAUAUUAAUAUUCCCACAGGUGUCAUUGCUCUUGCUCAGGACCCUAUUUCUGAACUUGAUCAUGACUUGACAAAUCAAGACAAUGUCAAAGAGCAAACUAUUAUAGAAGAACAAACUCUUCCUCUUCAAGAACCAGUGCCAUUAAGAAAAUCCACUAGAGAAAGGAGAAGUGCAGUGCCAGAUGAUUACAUUGUUUUUCUCCAAGAACAUGAGGAUGACUCUAGAUUGAUGGAAGAUGAUCCAAUCAACUUCCGUCAAGCCAUGGAAAGGUCAAAUUCUCAAAAGCGGGUCGAUGUCAUGAAUGAGGAGAUUAAAUCCAUGAAAGACAAUGACGUUUGGGAUCUUGUCCCAUUGCCAGAAGGAGCGAAACCCAUUGGUUGUAAAUGGGUAUUUAAAAUCAAGAGGGAUUUGAAAGGUAAUGUGGAAAGAUACAAAACUCGUCUUGUCGCUAAGGGAUUUACACAAAAAGAAGGUAUCGAUUAUAAAGAAACAUUCUCUCCAGUCUCUUCAAAUGACUCUUUUAGAAUUAUCAUGGCAUUAGUGGCACAUUUUGAUCUUGAGUUACAUCAGAUGGAUGUAAAGACAGCGUUUCUCAAUGGUAACAUUGAUGAGACGAUUUAUAUGGUGCAACCAGAAAACUUUGUAUCAGGAGAUCCAAAGAAUAUGGUUUGCAAACUUAAGAAAUCCAUCUAUGGACUCAAACAAGCGUCUCGACAAUGGUAUUUCAAAUUUCAUCAAGUGAUCAUCUCAUUUGGUUUUGAAAUGAAUUUAGUAGAUGAUUGCAUAUACCAUAAGUUCUGUGGGAGCAAAUAUAUUUUUCUGGUAUUGUAUGUUGAUGAUAUUUUGCUUGCCAGCAACGAUAUUGGUCUAUUGCAUGAAACCAAGAAAUUUCUAACUAAGAAUUUUGAGAUGAAAGAUCUUGGUGAUGCAUCUUUUGUGUUAGACAUACAGAUACACCGUGAUCGCUCUCGGGGUAUUUUAGAACUAUCACAAAAGGGUUAUAUCGAAAAGGUUCUCCAAAGGUAUGGCAUGCAAAAUUGUAAACCAGGUGACACUCCUGUGGCUAAAAGAGACAAAUUUAGUCUUGAACAGUGUCCCAAUAAUGCUUUUGAGGAAAAAGAGAUGCAAAAGAUUCCUUAUGCAUCAGCAGUAGGGAGUCUAAUGUAUGCUCAAGUAUGUACGCGUCCGGAUAUUGCGUACAUUACUGGGAUGUUGGGUAGAUAUUUGUGUAAUCCUGGAUUAGAUCAUUGGAAAGCAACCAAACGGGUCUUACGAUAUCUACAGAAAAUAAAAGAUUACAUGCUCACGUAUCGAAAGUCAGAUGAGUUAGAGAUCAUUGGGUAUACUGAUUCCGAUUAUGCUGGAUGCAAAGAUACUAUGAAGUCAAUGUCAGACUAUGUCUACUUGUUGGCUGGAGGUGCCAUAUCCUGGAAGAGUGCUAAACAGUCCCUCAUAGCAUCUUCCACUAUGGUUGUAGAGUUUAUAGCUUGUUAUGAGGUAUCCAAUCAGGGAAUUUGGCUGCGAAAUUUCGUCACAGGAUUACGUGUAGUGGAUGGCAUUGAAAGACCACUCAAAUUAUUCUGUGACAAUAAGUUAGCAGCCUUAUAUUCCAAUAACAAUAGGAGCUCGACCAAAUCUAAACAUAUAGAUAUCAAGUUCCUGACUGUUAAAGAAAGAGUGCAAAAUGGACAGUUAUCAAUAGAGCACAUCGGGACAAACUCCAUGGUUGCGGAUCCGCUUACUAAGGGAUUGCCACCCAAAAUGUUUCAUGAGCAUACUGCUCAUAUGGGUGUCGUAUUAAAUGAUGUAUAGUUUUAGUGGGAGUUUGUUAUUUUAAAUGCUCUUAUGAUAUUUUUCAGUUAUUAAGGAUUUAAGAAUAUUUUAUGCAUAAAUAAAGUUUGAAUUUAUUUGCACUCUAAUUUUGGUAUGGUUUGAUCUCAUAAAAUUUAAGGUGGACCAGUUGGAAAUAGACAUGUUUUGAUCACAUUACAUGAAAUUUCCAUGCUACACAUCCACAUCAUAAUUCAUGUCAUUCAACUGCAUUGAUAUAUGUGACCAUUGAUGGGUCGAGUUACGAAAUUGUAACAAAGGCCGCUUUGAUCUUAUAUUGGUGUAAUUGAUGGACCGAAUUGGUUACAGAUACAUUGUGAUAAUGACAGUAAAGUUGAGCUCAUACGGUUAAUUGCAAAACAUAAUUAUAAGGUUACACAUAUAGUCCAAGUGGGAGAUUGUUGGAUCCUUAAUCCAACAUUGGACUUAUAUGUGAAUAAUUAUGUAUUGCAAACUGUCAAUUAAGGUUAAACCCAAUUAAAGUGAUCAAAUAUAGUUUGGGUUUAAUGUAUCUAAUAGGAUGUGGGCCCUUUUAUGUGUAGAAACUUAUGGGCUCCUAUUUCAAUGAUGGGCUGAAAUAGGGCUCCAAAGGUAACAGGAAUAUUACCUAUAAAUAGGGUUAUGGUCCCCAAGUCACAGGCAUCGUUUUAGUUGUUGUAUUGCCUAACACCACAAAAUAGUCCUUCCCUGAUAUCCCAUCGUCAGGAAAGAUACCAGAGAGAAACUAAAGGCCUCUCUCAAAGGAUCGGUGAAUACCUGUUGACCUGGAAGGCCACCCCAAAUCUCUAGGGAUUCAAGUAUCAAGUUUAUCAAUAUGGAUUCAGGUACGCUUCCGCUAUUUUACAGUUAAUGUAUUUCUUAAUAAUCACCAUAUAGAUCUUGGGUUUAAUAGGUGAUGGUUUUCACCAGUGGUUAGAUUUAAAUAACCACCCUAACAGCUAUCGGACCGAAAUGGAGAGAAUUGAGAGCUGUUGUUUGAAUCUCAGCCUAUUAACGAUGUAAAAGGGACAAAUAAUGUAAGAAAUGCCUGCAACUUGUAUAUCUUAAGUAAUAUAAGAGGAUUAGCUGAAGGAACUGGUGACAAGUUGGAAAUUUGGGUUGAGACCGUAGGAAGAAAACUUGCUGGAAUUUUUUUCCAGCCUCAUCCGAGAGAAAGGAAGUGAAGAAACUCUAGCUGUCUUCUGCAAAUUUUGGUUUUUCAAUUUCGUAUUAAGCUGUAAUGUAUUGUAAAGCAUCUUAACUUCAUCAAGCAUGAUAGAAACAAGUAUAAACUUAAGUGAACAUUGGAGGAGUUAUAAGUUUCAAACUAGUUGUUUGUAGAUAGGUUCGGCUGAGAGAAGGAAAAAGGAAUUUUCCAGGUUUCUUUAUGGAUUCUGGUUCCAAACUUCUACAUUGAGACUUAAUUCAUUGCAUAAUAUUUUAGUCUUAGCAUGCGUGUUAGAUUUGAGUAUGUAAUGGACAGAUUAAUGGAAAAAUUUCUUGUUUAAAAGCUGAUUGCUGCCAAAAUUUUUCCAUCAUGGCCGAGAGAGAGGAAUAAACUUCUGAUCAGCCUUUCUUUCGAAUUUUAACUGUAAACUUUCAUAUGUGCUGCUUAAGGCUACUCUGUAGCUUGAUAAUUAUAUUUUGCAUGAUGAAUUGGAGUUAAAACUGAAGAAAUUAUGGAGAAAGUGUCGUAUAUUAAACUGCUACAUUGCUGAAAGAUUUAGUUGACUGAUGCCAUAGCUGAUGACAGAUUUUGUGCGUGGCUUUUGGCCGAACAACUUGCUGAAACUAUUUGUUAUUUGCCUUGAUUUAUGCUGGACAGAAUGUAUACCAAGUGACUAGUGUUUUAAGCAAAUAAAUGGAGUUUUGUUGAAAAUUUUGAAAUGUUUGUGCUGGAAUUCUUGCCUUGCUGACCGAGCGUGUGAGGAAGUGAAACUCUUAUGACAUUUUUGAAAAAUUCAGGUUAAUUGGUUGUGAAUUUAUAUGGAGCAUCUUAUAACAUCUUGAAACUACUUUUAUGAGUAUUUUAAAGAACUUAAAACUGGAAAAUUAGUAAAAUUUAAACGAGAUUUAAACUAUAGGCAACUUAGAAUCUAGUUUAAUCUAAAAAGGAAAGAAUGAAAAGUCUAUUUGCCUUAAUCUUAGAAUAUUGGAUAGAAAAUGGUUUAAUCUUAGACUAAACGUCUUAUAUAUGUAUAUUUUUUUGUUUAAAAUGAUAAAGUUGAUAAAUUUCAAGAUAAAAUAUAAGAAAAGGUUGGAUAUAUUAUGUCUUGUAUUUUAAAGCCAAAACUUGACUUUAACAAGUUUAAAUCAUAAGGUAACACAUGAUAAGUGAUUAUCUACGAAUUGUAUCUUCAUUUUAGAGUUCUAAAUUCAUCUCUGUGGGUAGCUGUGAGCCAGAAAGCAAACCCGAGACAAUUUAUUUGGAAUUUGGUGAGUGUUUCCGGAUUUGUAUAUUUAACUAUUUAUGUUUACUUAAGUGAAAUUAUGUGAUAAAUGUGCUUAUUAUUCAUUGUAAAAUGUGUCUUAAUUGUCCUUCGUCUUCUAAGUCGGGAGUGUACUUAAUCGCACUCAGCUUAGUUGAGUUUGAAGGUUGAUAAUUGACCAAAUAUUACUGUAAGUGUGCAUAAAUAUAAGCCGUAUAUGUACUUUACCACAUCGGCUGAAUUGGGCCUCAAAACCCUCUGUUUAACUGACUAUUCGAGCCAACAAAGGGCUUGGUCGGAUAGGACGGAAGCUUUGGACAGUGUUUCGGUAUACUUGAGUAUUACCCUAAAGUUGGGAGAUUAUUGAACUGAUUAUUGAAUGUAGGGAAUUGUUUAUUAUUUUGGAGGACAUAAAGAGGUGAAUUGGCGGAGUGUGCAAUAAUAUUGGAAUGAAUAUACAAUGACAUUGAAAUGUGUGUGCAAUGAUAUUGAAAUGACUCCAAGGAGGAGUUUGUAUCCUUUUGAAAGUGACUAUACAGUAAAAUGUUCAUUACUUGCUUAAUUUUAUUGGUUUUAAGUGUUUAUUGAAUGUUAUUUAUUCGGCAAACCUCAUUGAGUUUUAACUCAACCUUUUAGCUUUGUUUUCCUUACAGGAGCUGGAGAUUGAAGAGUGAUUGGAUUGAAUUAAAAAGUUAUUUUGGGAAGAUCCGUUACCGUGUAUAUAUUGUAGUCAUAGUUUCUUUUGUAUUUUGAGAUGGUUGAAUCUUUUGUUUUGAGUUUGGUGUGAUAUUAAGAAUGGAUGUUUAUAACAUGUAUUUUGUUUCUUUUAUUGGAAAAAUUUAUGUUUCAAGCUGAUUGGAGUUGUACCUAAGAGUGAAUGUUCAGCUGUUCAAUGGUAAUGUUAUCUCUAAAGUUAAUGUAAUUGAGUGAGCCCUGGCGAGAAUCAGGC